GGGGGUGUGGUGAAAUGGUAUCACAGCGGUCUCCAAAACCGCUUUUCGGGGUUCGAGUCCCUGCGCCCCUG
This 71-nucleotide transfer RNA is filed under the name Patescibacteria group bacterium. RNAcentral describes it as "tRNA-Trp". It matches the Rfam family "tRNA". From Rfam's summary of the family: Transfer RNA (tRNA) molecules are approximately 80 nucleotides in length. The record is from RNAcentral.